UGGAGAAAGUCUGACGGAGCACGCCGCGUGAACGAUGAAGGCCUUCGGGUCGUAAAGUUCUGUUGUUAGGGAAGAACAAGUACCAGAGUAACUGCUGGUACCUUGACGGUACCUAACCAGAAAGCCACGGCUAACUACGUGCCAGCAGCCGCGGUAAUACGUAGGUGGCAAGCGUUGUCCGGAAUUAUUGGG
RNAcentral lists this ribosomal RNA (192 nucleotides) under Bacillus sp. (in: firmicutes). RNAcentral's name for it is "Bacillus sp. (in: Bacteria) partial 16S ribosomal RNA". It matches the Rfam family "Bacterial small subunit ribosomal RNA", at positions 372 to 558 of the family's 1533-position model. Lineage: Bacteria; Bacillati; Bacillota; Bacilli; Caryophanales; Bacillaceae. The record is from RNAcentral.